ACAGGGGGGGCAAGCGUUGUUCGGAAUUACUGGGCGUAAAGGGCCAGUAGGCGGCCGAUUAAGUCCGACGUGAAAUCCCCAGGCUUAACCUGGGAACUGCGUCGGAUACUGAUUGGCUUGAAUUCGGGAGAGGGAUGCAGAAUUCCAGGUGUAGCGGUGAAAUGCGUAGAUAUCGGGAGGAACGCCGGUGGCGAAAGCGACUGUCUGGGGUGCCUGUGACGCUGAGGCGCGAAAGCCAGGGGAUCAAACAGGA
Molecule: ribosomal RNA, 253 nt
Filed under: uncultured prokaryote
Description: partial 16S ribosomal RNA
Rfam family: Bacterial small subunit ribosomal RNA
Source: RNAcentral